Molecule: long non-coding RNA, 894 nt
Organism: Lathyrus oleraceus (garden pea)
Lineage: Eukaryota; Viridiplantae; Streptophyta; Magnoliopsida; Fabales; Fabaceae
Exons: 2
Source: RefSeq, a predicted model, not a curated record
UGUACGGGGGGAGUCCACCGUUUGGGCCUUAGGACCAAACCCAAUCUCACAUUGUCGAGAGGCCAAGAGUCCCUGCUAAAAUACCAAAUAGCCGGUGACAAUCAUUAGCCAACGACUGGUUAUCCACUGCAACCUCUUCCACGUCCGCCUUCAAACAGCGGAGCCACCGUCUCUUAAUAGCAGAGUUCAGUGUGCUUGCGUCGGGAUCAACACCAUGCGACUCCCGUUCAGGAUUCACCAUUCACGUUCACACGUUCCUCAGCUUUGUGCUUCACUGCGUCUCAUGGAAUUGGAGAAACACCUCAGAUCCAGUAUCGACGUUGCAUCUCAAUCAUCCAUAGUGCUCUAAAUUCAAUCGUCAUCGUGUCUCCAACGUUGCGUUCAAGAAUGGUACCACGGAUAACAACUAAAACGAUGCAGAUAGAGGCGAAGACUCACCGAUUUUGAUGCGGCGGGGAACACAGGCCUAUGGAUCUUCGAUUUGUGCCAUGCCGUUUGGAACGUGAAAGCUUGAAGGAACACCUUGGUCGUGACUUGAUUGGAACAUGGAUGGUUAGCUUCUAAUCUUCAUUUGGUUUGGCGCUUGUAAUCAGUUUGGAUUGGCUUAUUGUUGGAGGCUUCACCCUAGUUUAUGUAUGUACAAGGGCAAUGGUAUCCUCAUGUGUAUGCCUUGUUUGGAAAUACUCAACUCGAAAUGGUGUGGUUGUUGUAUUGGUUAGCUUGUGUAAUUUUAUGAGUCCUUUUUAAGAUUCGGUUUUGAAUUGUAAGUUAGUGACUAAAAUGUGUAAGGAGUUUGGUUUAAUGGUAGUAAUGGAUUGUUGGGAUCGAAAUGGAAAUUGAAUUAAUGUUUGUAAUGUAUGGAAUUGUUUGGUUAAUGGAAUUGAAUUGUGGAAA